This 484-nucleotide ribosomal RNA is filed under the name uncultured bacterium. RNAcentral's name for it is "bacterial SSU rRNA". It matches the Rfam family "Bacterial small subunit ribosomal RNA", at positions 30 to 507 of the family's 1533-position model. The record is from RNAcentral.
AUUGAACGCUGGCGGAAUGCUUUACACAUGCAAGUCGAACGGCAGCACGGACUUCGGUCUGGUGGCGAGUGGCGAACGGGUGAGUAAUACAUCGGAACGUGCCCAGUCGUGGGGGAUAACGUAGCGAAAGUUACGCUAAUACCGCAUACGAUCUACGGAUGAAAGCGGGGGACCGUAAGGCCUCGCGCGAUUGGAGCGGCCGAUGUCAGAUUAGGUAGUUGGUGAGGUAAAGGCUCACCAAGCCGACGAUCUGUAGCUGGUCUGAGAGGACGACCAGCCACACUGGGACUGAGACACGGCCCAGACUCCUACGGGAGGCAGCAGUGGGGAAUUUUGGACAAUGGGCGCAAGCCUGAUCCAGCCAUUCCGCGUGCAGGACGAAGGCCUUCGGGUUGUAAACUGCUUUUGUACAGAACGAAAAGCCUUGGGUUAAUACCCUGAGGUCAUGACGGUACUGUAAGAAUAAGCACCGGCUAACUACGUG